This 393-nucleotide long non-coding RNA is filed under the name Phoenix dactylifera (date palm). Its description in RNAcentral is "long non-coding RNA (PDAC_LNC010911)". The record is from RNAcentral. Lineage: Eukaryota; Viridiplantae; Streptophyta; Magnoliopsida; Arecales; Arecaceae.
AGUCGAAGAUGGGUAUUAGAUACUAUGCCGAUUGGCUUUAGGCUAAGUGGGAGUUGUUGGGAAUUGCAUCCUAAAUGUCAAUCGUCAGCAUGUUGAUGAUUGAAUUUUGUCAAUGAAUUGACAAAUCAAUAAAGUAUUUUUUGGCAUUAUUCAUCAUUUUACAUCUUCAAAUGGACUCUUAUAUGAUGAAGUCCUUAGGACUUAUUAAUGAUAAAGGAGGAUUUAUCUUCGAGUCCUUAAACUAGUUCGCGACCAAAUGAUAUAUUGUUACAAGGACGACAGCAUUAUCGAGAUUAGGUCGUUGUGUGAUAUAUACGUUGGUUGUCCUCUUAACCAAGGAGUGUGGAGACACUGGUAUACCACACACGUGAAGUGUAGGAGUACAUUUCACUG